RNAcentral lists this unclassified non-coding RNA (21 nucleotides) under Mus musculus (house mouse). RNAcentral describes it as "oocyte_clustered_small_RNA12371". The record is from RNAcentral. Lineage: Eukaryota; Metazoa; Chordata; Mammalia; Rodentia; Muridae.
AUCCUGGUAGCAAGGAGACGC